This 426-nucleotide ribosomal RNA is filed under the name uncultured bacterium. RNAcentral's name for it is "bacterial SSU rRNA". It matches the Rfam family "Bacterial small subunit ribosomal RNA", at positions 354 to 796 of the family's 1533-position model. The record is from RNAcentral.
GUGAGGAAUUUUCGUCAAUGGGGGCAACCCUGAACGAGCAACGCCGCGUGCAGGAGGACGGUUUUCGGAUCGUAAACUGCUUUUCUCGGGGACGAGAAGGGACGGUACCCGAGGAAUCAGCCCCGGCUAACUACGUGCCAGCAGCCGCGGUAAUACGUAGGGGGCGAGCGUUGUCCGGAGUUAUUGGGCGUAAAGCGCACGCAGGCGGUUCUCCAUGUUCAAAGUGACAGUCGUCGGCUCAACUGACGAAGUGCUAGGAAGACGGGAGAACUUGAGGGCUCACGAGGGACACGGAAUUCCGGGUGGAGUGGUGAAAUGCGUAGAUAUCCGGAGGAACACCAAAGGCGAAGGCAGUGUCCUGGGGAGUCGCUGACGCUCAGGUGCGAAAGCCAGGGGAGCGAACGGGAUUAGAAACCCCGGUAGUCC